RNAcentral lists this ribosomal RNA (373 nucleotides) under uncultured bacterium. Its description in RNAcentral is "bacterial SSU rRNA". It matches the Rfam family "Bacterial small subunit ribosomal RNA", at positions 28 to 412 of the family's 1533-position model. The record is from RNAcentral.
GACGAACGCUGGCGGCGCGCUUUAUGCAUGCAAGUCGAACGGACCUUCGGGUCAGUGGCGGACGGCUGAGUAACGCGUAGGCAAUCUGCCCAGUGGUGGGGGAUAACUCGCCGAAAGGUGAGCUAAUACCGCAUAAGUUCGGUGGUUGAAAUACCACCGAGGAAAGCAGCAAUGCACCACUGGAGGAGCCUGCGUCCUAUCAGGUAGUUGGUGGGGUAACGGCCUACCAAGCCGAUGACGGGUAGCUGGUCUGAGAGGACGACCAGCCAGGAAGGGGACUGAGACACGGCCCCUACUCCUACGGGAGGCAGCAGCAAGGAAUCUUGGGCAAUGGGACGAAAGCCUGACCCAGCGACGCCGCGUGAGGGAUGAA